UACGUAGGGACCAAGCGUUGCCCGGAUUUAUUGGGCGUAAAGAGCUCGUAGGCGGCCUUCCACGUCGGAUGUGAAAGCUCAGGGCUCAACCCUGAGAUGCCAUUCGAUACGGGAAGGCUAGAGGUAGGUAGGGGAAAGUGGAAUUCCUGGUGUAGCGGUGAAAUGCGCAGAUAUCAGGAGGAACACCGGUGGCGAAGGCGGCUUUCUGGGCCUUACCUGACGCUGAGGAGCGAAAGCUGGGGGAGCAAACAGG
RNAcentral lists this ribosomal RNA (253 nucleotides) under uncultured bacterium. RNAcentral's name for it is "partial 16S ribosomal RNA". It matches the Rfam family "Bacterial small subunit ribosomal RNA", at positions 524 to 776 of the family's 1533-position model. The record is from RNAcentral.